Ophiophagus hannah (king cobra) is the source of this 105-nucleotide non-coding RNA. The record is from Rfam. Lineage: Eukaryota; Metazoa; Chordata; Lepidosauria; Squamata; Elapidae.
UUCGUGCUUCUGUGAGCUAUGUGUGAUGGCAGUUGUUUCUUCUUCUUCUUCUUCAGUUAAAAAGAAGAAACAACUGCCAUCACACAUAGCUCACAGAAGCACGAA